GGAGAGGUGGGUGAGUGGCUGAAACCAGCUCCCUGCUAAGGAGCCGUACGCAUUGCGCGUACCGAGGGUUCGAAUCCCUCCCUCUCCG
Molecule: transfer RNA, 88 nt
Filed under: Halospina denitrificans
Lineage: Bacteria; Pseudomonadati; Pseudomonadota; Gammaproteobacteria
Also listed under: 2 other names
Description: tRNA-Ser
Rfam family: tRNA
About the family: Transfer RNA (tRNA) molecules are approximately 80 nucleotides in length.
Source: RNAcentral